This 483-nucleotide ribosomal RNA is filed under the name uncultured bacterium. Its description in RNAcentral is "partial 16S ribosomal RNA". It matches the Rfam family "Bacterial small subunit ribosomal RNA", at positions 30 to 523 of the family's 1533-position model. The record is from RNAcentral.
AUUGAACGCUGGCGGCAGGCUUAACACAUGCAAGUCGAACGAUGAAGCCGGAGCUUGCUCCGGUGGAUUAGUGGCGAACGGGUGAGUAACACGUGAGCAAUCUGCCCUUGACUCUGGGAUAACUGCGGGAAACUGUAGCUAAUACCGGAUACGACACCUUGGGGCAUCCCAGGGUGUGGAAAGAAUUUCGGUCAAGGAUGAGCUCGCGGCCUAUCAGCUAGUUGGUGAGGUAAUGGCUCACCAAGGCGACGACGGGUAGCCGGCCUGAGAGGGUGACCGGCCACACUGGAACUGAGACACGGUCCAGACUCCUACGGGAGGCAGCAGUGGGGAAUAUUGCACAAUGGGCGAAAGCCUGAUGCAGCAACGCCGCGUGAGGGAUGAAGGCCUUCGGGUUGUAAACCUCUUUUAGCAGGGAAGAAGCGAAAGUGACGGUACCUGCAGAAAAAGCACCGGCUAACUACGUGCCAGCCGCCGCAGUAA